Molecule: long non-coding RNA, 314 nt
Filed under: Mytilus galloprovincialis (Mediterranean mussel)
Lineage: Eukaryota; Metazoa; Mollusca; Bivalvia; Mytilida; Mytilidae
Source: RNAcentral
CUGUUAUCGGACCACAGAUGAAUUAUCACGUUGUGAUUGGUUAAAUGCCGUCACGUGGUGACCCCCUAUGAGACCGUAUGGGGUUAGUAAGUUUCAUAUGGGGUUCAUGACGCGUUAAUGGCGACGUCAUCUAUUAAUGUUGUUGUGUUUCAUUGUUUAUUUUUCAACAAAACGCCGCAGAAAAAGACCAUCGUCCGAUAAAUUCGUUAUACGGUUAACUACUGACCCCCUACGGAUCCAUAGAGGGUGAAUAAAAUUCAUAGGGGACUCGGCCUCCGGCCUCACCCCUAUGGAUUUUACUAACCCUCUAUGGA